Molecule: transfer RNA, 70 nt
Filed under: bovine gut metagenome
Rfam family: tRNA
About the family: Transfer RNA (tRNA) molecules are approximately 80 nucleotides in length. Their secondary structure includes four short double-helical elements and three loops (D, anti-codon, and T loops). Further hydrogen bonds mediate the characteristic L-shaped molecular structure. tRNAs have two regions of fundamental functional importance: the anti-codon, which is responsible for specific mRNA codon recognition, and the 3' end, to which the tRNAs corresponding amino acid is attached (by aminoacyl-tRNA synthetases). tRNAs cope with the degeneracy of the genetic code in two manners: having more than one tRNA (with a specific anti-codon) for a particular amino acid; and 'wobble' base-pairing, i.e. permitting non-standard base-pairing at the 3rd anti-codon position.
Source: RNAcentral
CCGAUAUAGCUCAGGUGGUAGAGCAACUGAUUCGUAAUCAGUAGGUCGGGGGUUCGAGUCCCCCUAUCGG